AGGAGUCUGAUCCUGCUGACCUUAUUCAGACAAAGCUCUUUUUGAUUCCAGUAGGAUUUUGCCUGAGUAGGGACUGCAGGGUUUGGCCCAC
This 91-nucleotide non-coding RNA is filed under the name Chrysemys picta bellii (western painted turtle). Lineage: Eukaryota; Metazoa; Chordata; Testudines; Emydidae. RNAcentral also lists the same sequence under 1 other name. The record is from RNAcentral.